AAAUUGAAGAGUUUGAUCAUGGCUCAGAUUGAACGCUGGCGGCAGGCCUAACACAUGCAAGUCGAACGGUAACAGGAAGCAGCUUGCUGCUUUGCUGACGAGUGGCGGACGGGUGAGUAAUGUCUGGGAAACUGCCCGAUGGAGGGGGAUAACUACUGGAAACGGUAGCUAAUACCGCAUAACGUCGCAAGACCAAAGAGGGGGACCUUCGGGCCUCUUGCCAUCGGAUGUGCCCAGAUGGGAUUAGCUAGUAGGUGGGGUAACGGCUCACCUAGGCGACGAUCCCUAGCUGGUCUGAGAGGAUGACCAGCCACACUGGAACUGAGACACGGUCCAGACUCCUACGGGAGGCAGCAGUGGGGAAUAUUGCACAAUGGGCGCAAGCCUGAUGCAGCCAUGCCGCGUGUAUGAAGAAGG
This 417-nucleotide ribosomal RNA is filed under the name Escherichia coli. RNAcentral's name for it is "bacterial SSU rRNA". It matches the Rfam family "Bacterial small subunit ribosomal RNA", at positions 1 to 414 of the family's 1533-position model. The record is from RNAcentral. Lineage: Bacteria; Pseudomonadati; Pseudomonadota; Gammaproteobacteria; Enterobacterales; Enterobacteriaceae.